AUGAGAAGGAGCAGAACAUUCAGUCCACCAGCCAAGAUGAUAAGCUCAUGCAGACCAUGAACCUGACCCAGAAGAGACUGGACAUAUAACUGCAGGAGUUCGAGCUGCUCUAUUUCUCUCUGAGCAGCGCUCCGAUCUUCUUCAGAGCUGAUAAAACGGCAGCCGAGGAGACCCAGGAGAAGAAGGACGGAGACAAAGUUGCCAAAACUGGUCUUAGUUCCUCAACGAUUGAGGGUUCUCCUGGGGAAACCAGCACCAAGUGAAACUACAGAGCAGCUUGGACGAUAUAAAUCACUUCAACAGCAUGGACUCACUCCAGAGGAGGUUAUAAACAUUGACCCUCCAGCCACUAUUCUUCUGUUGGAGUCUGUACAGCGUCUUGAAAUCAUUUUGGCAUUAUGCCACCUGCACUCGUUCGACUGGAACUGACUGUGGAUUUGGAUCAAUGCUUCGGUUUUAGACCAUGAUUGUUUUAUGUAUCGACAAUGACAUUCAACCGCCGUUUUGUCAAGCAUUAUAUGCGGUCAUGUAAAUUCAAGAGAUGUGAUUAGUAGAUGAAGGCAUCUGUAUUUUUUUAUUUUCUCUCUCUCUCUUAACAAUGUUGAUUGUUGGGCACAGAUAUUUUUAUAUGAUGGAACUGGUCCUUAGAAUAUAUUUUUAUUUAGAUAAAGAAAUUGUUUUAGAUUUUUUUUUUUCUUUUUAGAUAAUUACAUUUAAAAGAAAUCCAAAGAACUGAUUAUAUUUCACACAAGAAUGGAAAUUCUGUCAUGUCAUUUCAAACCUAUAGGAUUUUUAAAAUAAUUUAUUGUUCCAUUCUAUGGGAACCAAAAGGGUUAGUUUGGACCGCAUUGACUUGAAUUAUUCUGACAAAAACAGUUCUUCAAAAGAAUCAUUUUUUAUGUUGCUCGGAAGGAACAUUUUAGAUUUUGAAUGAAAAAAGGGUGAGUAAACAGACACUUAGUUUUUGCUUGAUCUUUUCUUUUAAAGUUGAAUAAUGUGAAACUAUUUUCUUGUGUCAAAAGUUUUAAUUAACCAAUGAUUUUCUGGCCAAAACUCAUUCAACACCGUCAUUUUUAUAAAAUGUAGCACACUAACAUAUUCUGUUUAGUCUAUUUGUGCUGCCUAAAAUAUAUUGCAAUGUGUCCGACAGUAAAAAUUUGUCCUUGCUCACUGUGAUGGAGGAAGUUGAAUUGCACUUGCCUUAAAGCUGCUGCAGUCUUACAGUAUUCAGUGAUUGAAUAACAAAUAACACAGCAGUUUCUUCACAUCAGUUACAAUCCAUCUGAUUUUUCUGACAUUUGCAAG
Molecule: long non-coding RNA, 1305 nt
Organism: Carassius gibelio (silver crucian carp)
Lineage: Eukaryota; Metazoa; Chordata; Actinopteri; Cypriniformes; Cyprinidae
Exons: 3
Source: RefSeq, a predicted model, not a curated record